Molecule: small nucleolar RNA, 54 nt
Filed under: Pyrobaculum aerophilum str. IM2
Lineage: Archaea; Thermoproteati; Thermoproteota; Thermoprotei; Thermoproteales; Thermoproteaceae
Description: PAEsR42
Source: RNAcentral
AUGAGGAGCCGAUGGCUGGCGCAACUCAUGGCGUUAAAGCUUGGCGGGUUCUGA